Molecule: non-coding RNA, 219 nt
Organism: Leptonychotes weddellii (Weddell seal)
Lineage: Eukaryota; Metazoa; Chordata; Mammalia; Carnivora; Phocidae
Source: RefSeq, a predicted model, not a curated record
GAAUUCAUCUACAGAGAACAGAAAGGAAGUGUGAUCCUGCGGAAUGUUGAAACAAAUAUUUCUACAGUGUUAAUAGAAGGCAAAAAAAUUGAAUCAUUAAGAGCCAUCCGAUAUGAAAUAUCUCCAGAUAAGGAGUACGCUCUGUUUUCAUACAAUGUGGAGCCAAUAUACCAACACUCCUACACUGGAUAUUAUGUCCUGAGCAAAAUUCCUCAUGGG